CCGUAUGGAAGGGCCAUCGCUCAACGGAUAAAAGGUACGCCGGGGAUAACAGGCUGAUCUUGCCCAAGAGUUCAUAUCGACGGCAAGGUUUGGCACCUCGAUGUCGACUCAUCGCAUCCUGGGGCUGAAGCAGGUCCCAAGGGUUCGGCUGUUCGCCGAUCAAUAGCGGUACGUGAGUUGGGUUCAGAACGUCGCGAGACAGUUCGGUCUCUAUCUAGUGUGGGCGUAGGAAAUUUGAGAGGACCUGUCCUUAGUACGAGAGGACCGGGAUGGACGAACCUCUGGUGUUCCAGUUGUGUUUCCAAAUGCAAUGCUGGGUAGCUAUGUUCGGAAGUGAGAAGCGCUGAAAGCAUCUAAGCGCGAAACACCCCUCAAGAUUAGAUUUCCCCAUAGGCUCGUGGAAGACUACCACGUUGAUAGGUCGCAUGUGUACGCACAGUGAUGUGCUUAGCUAAGCGAUACUAAUGGCCAAUUGGCUUGACGUUUCAU
Molecule: ribosomal RNA, 489 nt
Filed under: Acidobacteriota bacterium
Lineage: Bacteria; Pseudomonadati; Acidobacteriota
Description: bacterial LSU rRNA
Rfam family: Bacterial large subunit ribosomal RNA
Source: RNAcentral